UCUCGGGCGGCGAUUCUUUAGAGGGAUGCACUUUUUGUUGACUUGAAAGAAAGAAGGUGCGUCUCUUUAGAGGAUUACUGUUUGAGA
Molecule: microRNA precursor, 87 nt
Filed under: Callithrix jacchus (white-tufted-ear marmoset)
Lineage: Eukaryota; Metazoa; Chordata; Mammalia; Primates; Cebidae
Description: mir-515 microRNA precursor family
Rfam family: mir-515 microRNA precursor family
Source: Rfam by way of RNAcentral